AUAAGAUUAAACUUGCAAAUAUUCGCUCAAACUAAAGUUGAUUUAUAAAACUAGUGUUCAUCCAACUUAUUCAGGUGAAAUGUGGUCGCUAUGGACAUGAAAUACACGUUUUCGUCGUUCAGAUUUGUAUUUAGCUAAUGAUACAUCCGAAUAGUUACAUUGCAUACGUUAUGAAGAAUCCGAUUUGCAAAAAGCUGUCAUUUACUAUUGCUGACAAGAUCUACUUAGCCGGAAUGUUCAACCUUGCAAACCUAACUCUUAUUUCUACCUGAGAACAACUCAAUGUUUCCGCACGCGAACAACUAGUCAACGCCAGUGUAAUGUACGAUUAGUGGUGCGUAUCAAAAGAAUAAUAUAAAAGUUUUGUAAAUGACAAAUCCCUCAACAGAAUUCUCCAUUAUCUGGAUUGCUUCGCGUCGUAGCAUUGGGGCUAGCGAGGAGGUCGAUAAAUUGGCGCAGGAGGCGAUAGAGAAUGUGAGGGCCGAAUUCGGCAUGCCUAAACUGAUCUUCGAGUACAAUUUACAAGACCGUGCAAGACCCUGGUAUGGAAAAUGCAAGCUCUAGAGAGAGCGUUACCACCCAAGCUAACCAUUACCACGUUGCAGCCACCGUGGCUAGGGUGGGGAUCACCAAUACUCCCAGUUGACCGUGUGGAGCAGAAAGCCAAACUUUUGACCACAUCUUGUGGCUCUGCCCCAAGACGAACAACAAAGGCACAAACUUUUAGAGAGACUGAAUAAACAACAUGUGCCAGGUCCUACAACACAAGUACAAAAUUUUUAGCUCAUCGGUUUAUGGAGAUAAUGCACUGAGAGUAAAUUGAUCUAACGUGCAAUGAUUGGAAAAUGGCAAAAUUCACCACUCCGAGAACUGUUAUUCUGAAAUUAUUAUUUCGACGGCCUCCAAUCCAAUAAACUGGCAAUUUAUCAGAGGAUGACGUAAACGAAUUUUCAUAUACCAUCGAGAGUUGAGAAGUGGCUGUUCUCCGCAACCUACUGCACGGACUGGAAUUGGUCGUAUUGAAAAGCAGCAAGGUAUGCGCCGAUAAAUGACACCUUCCACACCAAGCAAAUCAACCCUCAUGCUCUGGAAAUUACAUACCAAUUAGUUCAACCAUUUGAGUGGUGGGAGUGAAAUACUUUUUUACCAUUUUUGAGAAUAUUUUGUGUUGAAUUUUUUCGUUCUUGCAAAGAGAAGAAUUUUCCGGAAAACAUCGAAACGGUUGAAUUUUGCCAAAAGUGGGUUCCUUCUAUAAAAAUAUUCAAUUUCAUGAAUAAUUUUGAUUACAUUUACUUGAAGAUGGUCAGUUAGGCAUCGGCGAAAAAAUUGACAUGGAUUGGAAAAUGGAGAAUAAAAUUGACGCAACGGAGUUUGACGGGGACAGUGAGAUGAAGAAAUACGCGACAAGAACUUUGCUUUUCCUCCAACUUUUUUUUUCAUCAUAUAGAACUUUUGUUUGGCCCUCUUUUUUAUUUCUAUUCAUUUUUCAAAAAUCCUCAGAGCAUACCACUAUACAAUACUUAUUCUCAGCCCUUUUUUUAGAAAAAUUUAUGUACGGUUAUGCAGAACCUCAUCAACACUGAAUGUACUGGGAUUGGAAUAAUGAAUUUCAUUGAUUUCUAUUUUAUUUUCACGUUUUAUUUUAAAUCCGUGCAAAAGUAAAAUAAUCACCGGAUUUGUUUUCUCAUAGUAUUCCCCACCAUUGGUGAUUUCAACGAAAAGAUAUUUUCAACAUAGGGAAUACUUGUCUACGGACUUUAAUCUUUUUCCCGCCUAUUGAAAAUAGUGAAAAAAUUGCAGGAACAUAAAAAAGCUUUCGAUUUCUCCGUCAGGAACAUUAAAGAAAGCGGAAAAAAGGACUCUUCUCUCAUUUCACGUCAGUCAAAAUAUACGUGACUUUUCUCACCCAAGUUUUACGAUACCCCAGGGAGUGGUCAUGCUUCAAAUAGAAUAAAAAUUCAGGAGAGGGGUUUGCAAUUUCAUUGAGAGUGCAGGAGCACCGUAAGUGGGCACUGUCAAUUACACCCAACAUACCACUAAAAGAAAAAUAUCUGAAGCAUUAAAAGCAGAAAGUUCUUGAGUAAAAGCGUGAAAAAUACUGGAAGAUGAAAGUCUCUGAACACCAGUAAUCUACCUCAGACAUAGAAGGCGAAGCGGUGACAGAUUGCAAUUUAUCGUGGGAAUGAGAUUGCCUAGUAGGCUUGUACAGACUACAAACCCCUUCACGUUUACGAAAUUAACUAGAGUUGGAGACCGAUGAGAAUAAAAAUAAAAGGCGUGAGAAAGAAGGGCGAAGGGGCGAUAUGGCGGGCGUCGAACGUGGUUUCACCCAGGGUGGUCUAAUCUCGGAAUAAGAGAUGCAACCCAACUACGUUUCGAUUGAAUCAGCGACCUUAAAGGGAGAAUUGUUGGAGGGUAUACCGGAGAGACUCGGAUGCUUCAAAUUUCGAGAGUUAUGCACAGCCUGCAAAUUUCUUUGGAUUCUUCAUUUUAAAUUUACCUUAAAUGUGCACCAUAAAUCGAGGCUUAUUAUUCGUUGUGUCUGGAGUUGUUUAAAUCGAUCGAAGAAAUAAUAGUUUUGCACUGUUGAGAUGUUUUUGUCAUUUUAUAAAUACUGGAUUUACCGGUAACAUAAAGCUUCGAGGAGAUUGAUCACGAGAAGAACGUCUGGUUUGUAUUGCGAUCUGCUGAUAAUAAUAUCACAACGUAGAGAGUGUGAAAAAGUCCUCAUUGUACACGGAGUGAGAAAUCUUCGUAAAAAUUUAAAGUCUAAUGGGAGGCGAGGAGAUGGACGCUCAACAGCUCAUGUAAUAAGUCCCAUGAUGGAGUUCAACGUUGGCAAGAAUCGGAUAUAUUCGCCGCUUAUCGUUAACCAAUAACAAUGAGUUACCGAAAAAUGGCUGCACGGAACAAUGAAAAAUGAAGGAAGGCGCAAUUAAAUAAACUGAUUUAGAUAGAAACUUUUAAAGGAUUUCCAUCAAUUUUUCAUUUAAAGUCAAAUAAAAAAUGACAGGCCAUCAAAUUUUAUAGUGCUGUUUCGUAAAUGUUACGAAGGUAUAUAUCAUUAAUUACAAAAUGUAUGGUAUUGAUAGGAAGUUCUAUGGGCGAAUAAAACAAAUUUUAAUGUUCUAGUAUUUUGCAUUUCGAUUCUAGUGCCCAGAACAGUAAUUUUUCUGUGAGCUUUCUCUCCGUCUAUGGCUAAGACUAAAACAUUAAUGAAAAUUACAGAAGUGGAAUUCUUCCUCAAUACUCGAUAUGAUAACCAUUGGGGAGAAAAUCCAGAUGUAUUCCCCAUCUACAACUAAGAGAGAGAAAGAGACGGCGGUGGAGACAUUACUUAUGUGAAUUGAGAAUAAAAAUGAGAAUUGGCAUGAACGGAGAAAAAAGUCCGAGAAAUUUUGUGAGAAGUUUAAGUUGCGUUGUAAAAUGAAUUCCCUUAUACUUGACUUUCAUUAAGUAAAGAUAAUGUUG
Long non-coding RNA from Diachasmimorpha longicaudata, 3471 nucleotides. RefSeq lists it as uncharacterized. NCBI's taxonomy places the organism in Eukaryota, Metazoa, Arthropoda, Insecta, Hymenoptera, Braconidae. The record is from RefSeq and is a predicted model, not a curated record. The transcript is spliced from 5 exons.